RNAcentral lists this ribosomal RNA (484 nucleotides) under uncultured bacterium. RNAcentral's name for it is "partial 16S ribosomal RNA". It matches the Rfam family "Bacterial small subunit ribosomal RNA", at positions 28 to 507 of the family's 1533-position model. The record is from RNAcentral.
AUUGAACGCUGGCGGCAUGCUUUACACAUGCAAGUCGAACGGCAGCGCGGGCUUCGGCCUGGCGGCGAGUGGCGAACGGGUGAGUAAUGCAUCGGAACGUGCCCAGUAGUGGGGGAUAGCCCGGCGAAAGCCGGAUUAAUACCGCAUACGACCUGAGGGUGAAAGCGGGGGACCGAAAGGCCUCGCGCUAUUGGAGCGGCCGAUGUCGGAUUAGCUAGUUGGUGGGGUAAAGGCUUACCAAGGCGACGAUCCGUAGCUGGUCUGAGAGGACGACCAGCCACACUGGGACUGAGACACGGCCCAGACUCCUACGGGAGGCAGCAGUGGGGAAUUUUGGACAAUGGGGGCAACCCUGAUCCAGCCAUGCCGCGUGCGGGAAGAAGGCCUUCGCGUUGUAAACCGCUUUUGUUCGGGAAGAAAUCCUCUGGGCUAAUACCCCGGGGGGAUGACGGUACCGGAAGAAUAAGCACCGGCUAACUACGUG